AGAAGAAAUCAAUUAUAGACACUAAUAUAAUUAGAUCUGCUCUUCAUAGACAAACUUGGGAUUUGCGAUCCCAGGUAAGAUCGGUUCAGGAUCAUGGGAUCCUUUUCUAUCAGAUAGGAAGGGCUGUUNNNNNNNAGUAAUUGCCCCAUAGAUCCUAUAUCUAUCUAUAUGAAGAAGAAAUCAUGUAACGAAGGGGAUUCUUAUUUGUACAAAUGGUACUUCGAACUUGGAACGAGCAUGAAGAAAUUAACGAUACUUCUUUAUCUU
Molecule: unclassified non-coding RNA, 267 nt
Filed under: Hevea brasiliensis (rubber tree)
Lineage: Eukaryota; Viridiplantae; Streptophyta; Magnoliopsida; Malpighiales; Euphorbiaceae
Source: RNAcentral